Molecule: long non-coding RNA, 853 nt
Organism: Eriocheir sinensis (Chinese mitten crab)
Lineage: Eukaryota; Metazoa; Arthropoda; Malacostraca; Decapoda; Varunidae
Exons: 5
Source: RefSeq, a predicted model, not a curated record
CUAACAGUCAGUCGUCUUGGGAGGAAGCCAUCGGUUAUGACAGCAAGACACACACACUGCCAUUGUGUGUGUCUUGCUGUCGUAAGCGCCCUCCCUUUGUACUGUCUAUGGAAAAUUUGAAAUCAUUGUGAGAGGCACAGCUACAAGGACUGAAACAACCGUUCACAUCAGGUCCAGACAUCGAAGCUGAUGAGGGAAGCUGUGGCCCUUAUGGCCGAACUUAUUGGAUGUGAUCUCUCCCACAGGGCUCCAGCUGUUAUUACAGACUUACAAUGGAUAUUUCACAGUCUAAUCAAGGCCACAGUCUAAUAGACUGGACGUGUUACAAGAGUUUAAUGAAUAGAAGCUAACUUUUGCAGACCUCCAGAAUGGCUUUGACCACCAGUCACCUCUCCUUGAAGAUGACAACCCUGAGCUGCACGCCAUCAUUCAGAAAGAACGGGGUUGGGUUGGCAGUGGUCUCCCCCCACCCCUGCUCGUCCCCUCCCCUCCCCUCCUGCAUCUCCCCGGGCCGACUACAAGGUUGAAACUGGAUAAACUCAGAUGCAACAGAAUGGUUUUGACCACCAGUGACCUCUCUUUGAAGAUUACAACCCCGAGCUGCACGCCAUCAUUCAGAAGGAACGGGAUGUGUGAAGAAGAAGAAGAAGAAGAAGAAGAAGAAGAAGGCCCAGGAGACCUCCCUGAAGGAAAGUCCCUCACUGCAUUGAGACUCAAGCGAGAGAGGUUGUCUUCCAAUGCCGCGACGAGGGUUCCCUGCGAGCCCCCGUGCACUGGGUGAGGGACGGAGGACGUGCACUGCCCCCGGUAUCGACAGAUGUCCAAGGUUGCCUAACCAUCCCAGAUGUCCAGG